Molecule: ribosomal RNA, 772 nt
Filed under: Streptococcus anginosus
Lineage: Bacteria; Bacillati; Bacillota; Bacilli; Lactobacillales; Streptococcaceae
Description: bacterial SSU rRNA
Rfam family: Bacterial small subunit ribosomal RNA
Source: RNAcentral
GACGAACGCUGGCGGCGUGCCUAAUACAUGCAAGUAGGACGCACAGUUUAUACCGUAGCUUGCUACACCAUAGACUGUGAGUUGCGAACGGGUGAGUAACGCGUAGGUAACCUACCUAUUAGAGGGGGAUAACUAUUGGAAACGAUAGCUAAUACCGCAUAACAGUAUGUAACACAUGUUAGAUGCUUGAAAGAUGCAAUUGCAUCGCUAGUAGAUGGACCUGCGUUGUAUUAGCUAGUAGGUAGGGUAAAGGCCUACCUAGGCAACGAUACAUAGCCGACCUGAGAGGGUGAUCGGCCACACUGGGACUGAGACACGGCCCAGACUCCUACGGGAGGCAGCAGUAGGGAAUCUUCGGCAAUGGGGGGAACCCUGACCGAGCAACGCCGCGUGAGUGAAGAAGGUUUUCGGAUCGUAAAGCUCUGUUGUUAAGGAAGAACGAGUGUGAGAAUGGAAAGUUCAUGCUGUGACGGUACUUAACCAGAAAGGGACGGCUAACUACGUGCCAGCAGCCGCGGUAAUACGUAGGUCCCGAGCGUUGUCCGGAUUUAUUGGGCGUAAAGCGAGCGCAGGCGGUUAGAAAAGUCUGAAGUGAAAGGCAGUGGCUCAACCAUUGUAGGCUUUGGAAACUGUUUAACUUGAGUGCAGAAGGGGAGAGUGGAAUUCCAUGUGUAGCGGUGAAAUGCGUAGAUAUAUGGAGGAACACCGGUGGCGAAAGCGGCUCUCUGGUCUGUAACUGACGCUGAGGCUCGAAGCGUGGGGAGCGAACAGG